CCAGAGUGCCCUAGGCUCUCCAACCCAUUGUGAACAUACCUAACGUUCCCUCGGCGGGCUCAGCGCGCGGUGCCUCCGGGCUCCGGGCGUCCGCCGGGGACAACCAAACCCUGAUUUUAUCGUGUAUCUCUGAGGGGCGAAAGCCCGAAAACAAAAUAAAUCAAAACUUUCAACAACGGAUCUCUUGGCUCUGGCAUCGAUGAAGAACGCAGCGAAAUGCGAUAAGUAAUGUGAAUUGCAGAAUUCAGUGAAUCAUCGAAUCUUUGAACGCACAUUGCGCCCGCCGGCACUCCGGCGGGCAUGCCUGUCCGAGCGUCAUUUCAACCCUCAGGGCCCCCUUUCGGGGGGGACCUGGUGCUGGGGAUCAGCGGCCCUCGGGCCCCUGUCCCCCAAAUACAGUGGCGGUCGCGCCGCAGCCUCCCCUGCGUAGUAGCACACCUCGCACCGGAGAGCGGUUCGACCACGCCGUAAAACCCCCAACUUUCCAAG
This 489-nucleotide unclassified non-coding RNA is filed under the name uncultured Sarocladium. RNAcentral's name for it is "sequence contains ITS1, 5.8S rRNA gene, ITS2". The stretch from base 165 to 318 matches the Rfam family "5.8S ribosomal RNA". Lineage: Eukaryota; Fungi; Ascomycota; Sordariomycetes; Hypocreales. The record is from RNAcentral.